CGGCGAGUGUAGAGGGAAGAGCCCAAGAUUGAAAGCUGGCGUCUUCGGCGUCCGCAUUGUAAUCUCAAGAAGUGUUUUCCGCUUCGGACCAAGCCUAAGUCCCCUGGAAAGGGGCAUCAUAGAGGGUGAUAAUCCCGUACAUGGCUUGGAGCGCCCGAGGCUUUGUGAUACGCUUUCUAAGAGUCGAGUUGUUUGGGAAUGCAGCUCAAAAUGGGUGGUAAAUGCCAUCUAAGGCUAAAUAUUGGGGAGAGACCGAUAGCGAACAAGUACAGUGAUGGAAAGAUGAAAAGAACUUUGAAAAGAGAGUUAAACAGUACGUGAAAUUGCCAAAAGGGAAGGGUAGGAGGUCAGAGAUGCGGCCUGGGAUUCAGCCUUGCUUUUGCUUGGUGUUUUUCCCAGAUUGCAGGCCAACGUCGGUUUUGGGCACUGGAGAAGGGUAGGAGGAACGUGGCACCCCUCGGGGUGUGUUAUAGCCUCCUACUGGAUACAGCGACCGAGACCGAGGACAGCAGCGUACUCGCAAGAGCGGGCCUUCGGGCACCUUUACGCUUAGGGCGUUGGCAUAAUGGCCCUCUACCACCCGUCUGAAA
RNAcentral lists this ribosomal RNA (590 nucleotides) under Moesziomyces antarcticus. RNAcentral describes it as "partial large subunit ribosomal RNA". It matches the Rfam family "Eukaryotic large subunit ribosomal RNA", at positions 87 to 658 of the family's 3401-position model. The record is from RNAcentral. Lineage: Eukaryota; Fungi; Basidiomycota; Ustilaginomycetes; Ustilaginales; Ustilaginaceae.